GCGGUGCGUGCGGGUACAAGGAUGUUAACAAGGCCCCCUUCAACAGCAUGGGCGCGUGCGGCAACCUCCCCAUCUUCAAGGACGGCCUCGGCUGCGGCUCAUGCUUUGAGAUCAAGUGCGACAAGCCGGCCGAGUGCUCCGGUGAGGCCGUGGUGGUGCACAUCACGGACAUGAACUACGAGCAAAUUGCCGCCUACCACUUCGACCUGGCCGGCACCGCAUUUGGCGCCAUGGCCAAGAAGGGCGAGGAGGAGAAGCUGCGCAAGGCGGGCAUCAUCGACAUGCAGUUCCGCCGGGUCAAGUGCAAGUAUGGCGAAAAGGUCACCUUCCACGUGGAGAAGGGGAGCAACCCCAACUACCUGGCACUGCUGGUCAAGUAUGUCGAUGGCGACGGCGACGUUGUGGGGGUGGACAUCAAGGAGAAGGGUGGCGAGGCGUACCAGCCCCUCAAGCACUCCUGGGGCGCUAUUUGGAGGAAGGACAGCGACAAGCCCAUCAAGUUUCCCGUCACUAUCCAAAUCACCACUGAGGGAGGCACCAAGACCGCCUACGAAGAUGUCAUCCCUGAAGGUUGGAAGGCCGACACCACCUACACUGCCAAAUAAGCUGUCCAACAGACCUACCGCUGCUCUUGGAUGGGUUGGAUUGGAUCCCAACUUCCCAAGCAAUGCAUUACGCUUAUGCAUGCAUUGAUCUAUCUAUUUUUUACUGUUGUUGCUGCGACGAUGACGACGCCCUCCUUCAUCCUCUCCAUACGUAGCUAGAGCAAGGUUUCCUUCAUCCUCUCCAUAUAUAGCUAGGACAAGGCUCCAUCCGCUCUGUUAUUAUAUUAAAAAAAGAGAAGGACGAAGAAACAAAGAGACCAGAUACAUAAUAUGUAUCUAACGAGAGAUUUGAGAGGCUUUUGUAUGUAAUAAAAGGAGAGCGAGACAAAUAACAAUUGUCCAUGGAUCUCCUAUGUAAUCUCAAUUUUAUCAUGCCUGCAUUUUAAGUGAAUACACUUUUUUUCAAGACUAAUUGAAAUUUAUGAUAUGCACAUUUGAUUCUAGAUGUAUUCUUUGGUUUGGUCAUGCUUAACCGUGGUCAUUCUUUGAAGGUAUUAAGGUACGACAUUUAUUCAUGUGGCAAAACAUAAGCUUUCUAGUACUCUUUAAUAAAAUGUACUUUGCAUUACUGUGACAACUUCGCUACUUCCAUUAAUUAUGCAAUUUCCAACAUUGAGAUAGCAUCGUGUAUGCAUCUAUAGACCACUAGCUUGGUAAUAAGUGUGGUAAGUGCUUUGAUGAUUUAUGCCAGCUAUAUUAUUGGAAAGGCGCAACAUGAGGGAUAUUUUGGCUUUCUAAGUAUGAUUGGUCUAACGAGGUGAUACAAAUUUAUACUAUAGCUAGUGUGGUUUGUUCAUGCAACAGAUACAUGUCAUCGUUUUGUUCAGUUAGGAAACCACAUAUAGAACUAGUUACCUCAAAGAAACCAUAAGAAUGGUUGGAACAUAAAAUGGACUUAGGAGGAUUGAAUUGGAUCAGAGGAGGACGACCACCCACAUUGUCCUUGGAUUUUUUAUAUAAUCCAACCCCAACUUUAUCAUGGCUACCUUUUUAAGAGAACACUUUUUCUAUGACUAAUGUAAUGACUGAGUGUGCAUUGUAUUCAUAACCAUGAUCACUAAGAGAUUUGCAACAUAAAACUUCUAAUUUAUAAGAAAAACUAUGUGUUAUAUAUUGUUGCACCGUCAAAUCUGUGCACUAGUGAACGACUGGGCAAAUGCUUUGUUUGUUGGUCAGAGUAGUGCUCCAAUGGAUGGUCUAGUAGUGACACCACCAGACAAUUCCUUAGAACACAGUGGCGACUAAGACAUAAGGUGUCUCCUCUACACGCAUGGGCGGAGACUCGUAGAGGCGAUACUGGGCACCUGCCACCCCUUAGUCUAAAAGAACACUAGUACAUGUUUGAGUCUCCGAGCAUCCGUGACUUAUUUUGUACUAUGAUUGGCCAUUGGUAAUCCUAUGUAUCCAUCCAUCUUGUCUCCUUUCUCUCCUAUCAGAUCAAUCAUCUACUCAAAGCAUGCAACUUUACCCUAUCAGUACCUUGGAUAGCAUGCUCUACUAGCUUUUUUAACCGUACUUCUAUGCCAUGUGGAUGUGUGUCGUCCUUGCCUAGUUCCAAUAAAGAACAACAAAAACUUUGUGUAUGCCUGUAAUUUGGAGCUAAUCCUUUUGGUCACACUCAAGUAAUCUACUGUAGUUGCCCCCCCUUGAUUAUACCUCACGCUCCGCCGCUGUCUACACGCUUCAAGGACCAUGUGUCAGCACAAGUAGCAUCAGCAUCCCGGUCUCGCUCCCUCUCUAACACAUUUAUCUUUACACCCCUUGUCUCUCUCUCUCAAUCUAGCAAGAAAGGAGAAGAACCCUAAGCCCCUCCUCGUUACUAGAUUGGAGCUAGGACACUAUUACAAAAUCCAUUAUCAUCACCACACCCUUAAUUAUCACCGUCGUUUUUUUCUAGUACCGACGACGAAAAUAUUUCACUGCAGAUUUUCAGUCCAAAAGGGCUGCACAUAACUUGGGAUUGGACUGAUGCCAAAAAAAUAUUUUCACCACUGGAUCAUAUUCAUUGUUUUAUUACAGGUGGAGAAAACUGUUUUUACCACUGAAUUGGUUGAUCUAGCUGACAUUGAAGAAAUAGCUAGCUAAUGCAAAAUUAGAUUAUGAGCCCCACCCUGUGUGGCCAGGGGCUUUUGGGACGGCGUAGGAAAUGUAGGAAGGAUGGAUUGGUGUCACUUAAGGGGCUUUUUGUGCAAAAAGACCCUUAUAUUAUUGUUAAGAAAGAGAAGAGAGAAGAAACAAAGAGACAAUAAUACACUAGGCAAGAAUGAAAAAAUAAAAUGCUCAAGUGAUAGAGUAGUAUACUGAUCGUGGCAAGAGACAAUAAUACACAAGAAUACCAAGUGGAGACACAAAUAUUUUUCUCCCAAAAUUUUUGUGCUUGUCGGCAUGCUAGUACCCAUUAUGUUGACCGUUCACUUCAUGAUUCGUGACAUAAUAAGCGUAACAAGCCUAACCCUACACAAGGCCGCCACAAGAACCUACACAAAUAAGGGUAGUCAAUGACAUGAGCAAUCCACUGUAGUGCAUUUUGUUUCCCAUGCGGGGAAAGGUCAAGAAACAACACAAUGAUCACCAGGAGUGGCCAUAAACAAUCAUCAACUUAUGCCAACCUCGUCAAGCUGCUCCAAGCCAUAGCUAGAAUGAUCCCCAAGUGCCACUAAAUGCAAUCGCUUAAGCAAACACACUUUGGAUCGGUCCCAACUCACAUGGAUGAUGAAUCAAUCAAAGGCAUGAGUGAGAGAGGUUUGGCUUAGCUCACAAGGAUGCAACAAUGAUCAAAAUGCCCAAGAGAGUGAGCUAGAGUGGGUCAACAUCUAUUUAUAGAGGCCCCAUGCCUCGAAUAGCCAUUAUGCCCACAAAGGGGUGACUAGACCUGUGUCUAGACCUGUUAAUCCCAAAUUUUUGUGAGACAGGAUUUACUUGUGGGUCCACCGUACCCAUGGAGAGAAGGAACGGUUGGACAAUGGAUCGACUAAAUUGAAGACUGGAUGAAAAUUUUCGAUCGGAACAUGUCGAGUCAAGACGGAUGCAAGGGAAGACGUGUCAGGUUCCAUUACAAGAAGGAUUAAAGUCCGAGUUACCUUUCUGAGUGUUCGUGUAAUAGUAGGACACAUGAUUAGGUUUCCUGGUUAUAAAUAUCAGAGAUCCGAUCCUUGUAAAAAUAUACACAAUCAAAUACAAAACCUUUUCGGCUCCGGCCGUCAACCUUAGGAGUAGGAGUAAGAGUAGAUCUCGAUAAGACCUUCGACGAAUCGAGCUGCAUCGGUUGAUUUCGACUUUCGAUUUGCUUGUAAGUAUUGUCAUGGUUCUAUUUAAGUCUAUCACGGCUGCAUCAUUCAAACUCGUGUUAAGCUUGAAUUGGACUAGUUAUCGGUUUAGAUCAUAUUUGUAAGGCUGCAUUUAUUUAAUCUCUUACAAAGAAUCGAUUUAAGCUAAUUAUUGACUCUAUUAAAUUAGCAAUUUAAUAGAUUCUAUAAGUUAUCAAUAUUAUUUGAAGUUUAAUAUUUUAUUUAUUAUAACAAUAUUCCACCCAAUUAAUAUCCGACAGAUUAGUUCAAGCUUCAAACAUAUAUACUUGAAACGAAUUCUAAUGUACAACGAUUAUCAAACAACUAUCCAAGUUAACUAAUCUGUUAAUCUUAAUUGUUACAUAUUGUGCGUUCGAGAUAUUUAUUCAAUCAUGAUUAAUCUGGUAACUAAAACAAAAUUUAAUUAUGACCAAGUAGAUCUUGUUCGUGCUUCAUGGAUUUUGUAUCGGCUAAAUAGCCGAUCCGGUUAAGCUUCAAUGAAGAGUGCACGUGUGUAAAUUCAGUUAUGAAGUUAAAUAGACUAGUAAUUUAUGUUGAAUUUAUUGAAGCCCGCUGGUCUUUAGACCAGGUAAAUAUAAAUUUACUAUGAAAGUAACUUAUUAAAACUGCAGGCCUUUAGACCAUCUUAAAUGAGUUAUUGUCUAUCUAAUGAAUAAAAGGAUAAACAUACGUAAACUAUCUCUCAUGUAUGAAUAACGUAUCGACUAAAUAGUCGAUCUAGUUGUUUUCGCUCGUAACCCAAUUGCUCGAUUAUAUUCAAAAGUGACUCAACAAUUAAAUAACAAAUGUCAUAAUGCAUUAUCAUUACCUUAUUGUUAGGAGUUGACUUUUUAGUCAAUUUCCUUUGGUUAAUGGCUACCUUGGGCCAUAUAUUGUGGAACUGUCUGACAAUAACCGACAUGUUUCAUAAUUUGUCAUUUUUCUUCCUUUUCAAUUUUAGGUCACAUUGACUGGCAUGCCACGGAUUUAAGUCACCAAGCUAAGCUCGUGUGUUGAGGCUUAGGAGGUCCAGAACUCUAGCUUCUACACGCCCUCUAAAAGCCGCCAAGUGUGUUGUACAAGAAGCAUUUUUUUUUGCACCAACAGGACCAUCGACCCCGAGUCUGGCCCACCCUAGGAGCAAAUCAGCAUGUGUUCAAAUACAGCCGUUAUGCGCGCUCAAUGGUCACUAACUUGGUCUAGACCGGACGCGCACCACAACGACCAGACUCCCUCAUAGCGGAGUCCAAUCAACUCCAGUAAGCAUCCAGAGCACUCAAAUGAGACUGAGUCCAGUCUGACUAAUUAGACCCACGAAUAGUAGGUUCCAGUCCGUAACUAGAGCAUUAUGUUAUCCCCCAAAUAAUUCUUUGGACCCUGACUAUGUUCAGGUUCUCAAUCGGAUCGAGUCUAGUCACUCUACUACUACUCACAUGCGUGCCCUCACCUCAACCGAACUCGCACAUAUUGGUCUAAAUGCCUGAUCUGGUAGGGUCCGGUCCGAGUGCUAAAGCCCACAGGCUAGGGUAUGGUGCCGGACUAGACUCACCCAGGGUCCAGACCCCCUAAGCCUUGAGAGUCCGAUUCAAGAAUCUUCUCCAAAUCAACUCCAAGUUCUUCACCCUUGUGCAUUUGUGCCAACUCUAAGUAUCUCAACACACGUGUACGCGAGUUAGCAACAUUUUCAAAGUAUUUUUAAGGGUGCUAAGUUAGCACACUAGCUAGGUCUAAUGCAUAUGCAUGAUCAACAACACCUAGUGGCACUUGAUAAUCGUUGUAACCAUGAUUUUCCGCUCUUCAUAAUACGACUAUCUAUCCUAAAUUCAAUCACACCCUCUAUGGUGUGUUAUGAUUGGUGAAAAAAAAUCUUAUUUAUGCCUUUUCCUUGGUCUCCAUAGAUUUCUAUUUUUCUCUUUCUUCUUUUCUAAGUCGGAGCACUUGAUCUUCAAAUUUGUCCAUCUCCAUCACCAUGGACACCAUCAUCUAGCUCCAUCACUUAGGGUGUACCAACCUAUCUUACAUAAGACUUAUGACAAAGGUUAGUACACUUAGAUUUCAUCAAUUAUCCAAAACCAAACUAGGGCUUUCAAAGGCCUUUUUUUGUAUAAUAAAAGGAUCCAAGGUGCGAUACAAAGGAGCCCUUGUUGUGUUGUCACACCCUAGGCAUGACUAUUUCCAAAGUAAGCAAGUGGUGUCUAGUUAAAAUAGGAAACAACCAACAACCCUGCUAAAGCUCACACUAUAGUGUUCCUCCUUAGGUGUUAGAGGGAUGCUCCAUGAUAGGCGCCACUCGGAACAUUCAAGGUGUCCCUCUGGUGUGCUGAUCUCUUUGGUGAUAUCUUGGCCAGCUUCCCUUAUGUAGUGUACCAAAGGGCCUUGGUUCGACUGAGACCUUCCAUAAAAUGACCUAAGCGAGCGGUUCUAGGCCCAUGUCCACUAAGCCACAUUCGUUUGGCCAAAUCCCCCUAAAUGAUAUAGGGAGUCAAGUGGACCAUCCAUCGCCUGGGGUAAGAGAACUCUGAGGGCUUCUAGGUAUCCAGUGGGGGCAUGCAAGCACACCUGCUGGGUGUGGCCCCCUGAGUCCCUAACUGAUUAGUAGAAUUAGUUAGGAACUUAACUUCAUCUUAAAUAGCAAACUAUGAUCUUAUAAGGCUUGAAAUCCUUGUGAUGCUUUUCGUACCACUGAUAGUCUAUUUUAUGUUCAAUGUAGUGGCAGUUGAUUUCAAAGACAAACUAAGUGGUAAUUAUUAGGAUUUGCCCAAUCACUUACCCAAGAAGGAACGAAGGAUGACUCUGUCUAGGUUUAUGAGCAAACCAACAAAGAUUAACUAUCACACUUACAUGACGAUAAAAUAAAUGACUAGUUGACAAAGAAACUAGCUAAAACCACAACAAGCAAGCUAGCUACAUUGGGCCUCAUACAACACCAAGCUCUUGCACAUGGGCAAAGUUAUGUCAGAACUAUGGAUAAUAACACAAUGCCAUAUAUAUGUUGCCCCCUCAUUUCUAAGAGUCCUAGGUGUAUUUGUACUUGCACUAGGAUCAUGCACAAGUACGCACAAAAACAAGAAAUUUAGUACAUAGCUAAAAAGAAAGGUUCCGAGCUUUAUUGAUAUCUCUUAGAACUGUAGCCCGGAGGGUGAAGUUGUAGGCUUACAGAGCUAGCGGGAAACUACUGCCAUAGGGUGGCACUUGUUCACGGUGGUCUCUAGUACAAUGGGAUUAUACAACAUAUCAAUAACGUAUUCCAUAGGCAAGCUCGAGCAUGACCAAAACCCUAGCUCCGAUGUCAUCUCUUGCAUUAAGACUCUUCAUGUAACUCCUAAUCUUCAUGGUGCACUUCCUCAUCAUGGCCUUGGUCUUCCUUAUCACCAAAGUCUAUGGUGAACAAUAGGUGAAUACUUAUGUACUUAUGUACUCAGCAAGCCCUAACCAUAGGGUGGAAAUAGAGGUGUGGUGGUGAUUAUAAUUAAGGGUUGGGUCCUAGUGGAGCAUUACCAUCCUAGCUAAUCCCCAAGUUAGUGUUAUCUCAUGUUAGUUACCAGUUUCAUUACAUAAAAAGUAAAUCUAAUAAUAGUAUCCCAUCUCAGCAUCUUCUCAUUCCUAGGAUAUGCCUAUUCGAAUAGAUUUGAGUAGCUUUGCAGAGGUGUACAAAUUUCCCCCACAUGAUAGGCACAAUCCCUUCCAUGAUCAGUGGAUGAAGUAGGGCUAACAAGAUCCCAUGUCCGCUUGGGUGCUACCAUAGACUUUCAUAUAACUCUAUCAUGACUUCUUAGGGGUCAAAAAACGUACAAAAACUUAGGAUGAUACCUUAUCAUCCCAUCAAAUCAGUGUCGCUGAUACCAAAUCAUCAAAAUAGUCAAUAAUAGUCAAGGGCUCGAACAUGGCCAAAUAUCAAGGGGCUUAACAUGGAAGAUCACCUAGCAUCCACACCAAUCGGACCAUGGAAGAUCACAUAGCAUCCAUGUCUGCUCCUGAUAUUAUGUUGCCUACACCGACCUCCUAGUAGAAAUUAUACUUUCACCCAACAUGGUGAGAUCAAGUCUACCCAUGUAGACAUGUGGCUAUACGUAACAUCACACUAGGCGAGAGGGACUAUGAACUAGUCCUUAUGUGACCAAAGUGAGCAUCAGUGGGUGCUCGAGGUGAUGGUGGUGGCUCGCCAGAGCUUCCAUUGUGGCAUCGUGUGGUGGUUAUAGCCCUAAUGACCUUAUCUAACUCAACUAACUACGUGUACAUGGGUGCGGGAUUGUGGUGAGUGCAGUGGUGGUCGUGUAGUGCCCAAUCGAGCCUCUUGGUAAAUGGUGGUUGUUAGCCAUGGUGACUCGGUGGGCACAGUGCUUGGUGGCAGCAUGACACAAGAGGUCUAAUCAACUAACUAGCUAAUGGUGCAACAAAUGGGGAAGGAGAGGGAGGCGACUUCAAUGGCGUCGAUGGCACCUGAUUUAGGGGAACCAAUGUUGACCAAGGAGGAGAAGAGGAAAGGGGAAGAGGAGAGCGAGAUGGAGUGUUCUAGCUCAUGACAGAGCUAGUGGUGGAGAGCAUGAGGUCAGAGCGGCCUGUUUAUGGGCCGGCCAUGUUGGUUCCACUGGCAAGAUAUUUUCUCACUCGUUGAGCUCACUUAGAAAAAAACACACGUGCCCGAUGCCUUAGGUCAGCUUGCCAUAGUGUAUCCAUGGCAUCUAGUGGCUCGAGGGCUCUUGGGCCUAUGUGUCAGCCCCAGCCUCCUUUGCCACCAAGUCUCUAGAAAGCACACCUGGGGGGCCCGGUUCAAGCCGACAUAGCCUAACACUCGGCGUAUCAGAACAGAGCAACUAGAUGAUGUCUAGGGCUUCUUUGGCUCCACGACACCAACACGAUCCUUAAAGUACCACUACAAGACCCUCAUGGACUCUAGCACCCGUAGAACAUGGGCUCAACUCCUAAAACCACCAUGUAUCCGACCUAUCUCGAUAUAAAAGGGAUAGGUCAGGUCCUAUAGUGGAUAGGACAAUCUGAGAUAGACAUUACGUUCCUCAUCGAUCUCCUCCUACUCAGCAUCAAGAGUAGAGCAACCCAGAGAGGGGUAGCGAGAGCUCCUCCACCGCACCCAUUAUCUUCCUCUUCUUUGACGAGGGAAAGACUACAUCGGCGACGAGGUGAACUUAGGAUAGCACCGAGCUAACCCCCUAACAAAUCUCUCUCUUUCUCCUGCACUCUAUUGUAACUCCCCAAUUUUGGGUGCUCUUGAGUAUAAGGAUCAUCAGCUACUUGAUGUAGGACGUUGAUGGGCUUGAACCAGGAUAAACUGUUGCGUUUCCUCUGUGAUUAUUGUGUUCUUGAGUCCACCCGAGCCACCGAAGACAUGUACUCUGACACCAAUUUGAACAACAAUGCUUGCCGCAGUUCUGACCCCACGACACUAGGUUUAUGAGCAAACCAACAAAGAUUAAAUGGCACACUUACUUGACUACAAAUAAAUGACUAGUUUAAAACAAACUAGCUAAAACCAACAAGCAGCUAGCUACAUUGGGCCUCAUACAACACCAUGCUCCAGCGCAAGGGCAAAAUUGUGUCAUAACCACAGAUAACAAGACCAUGCCCUAACACAAGGGCAAAAUUGAAGGGGAAAACACAAAUUGAGCACAUUGCUAUAUAUAUGAUUUCUAUCAUUUUAGGGCUUUGCCUUGUUUGCUUUUAAAAAAUACAAGGUUGUUAUUAUGUGGUUAUGCGAUGCUUUAUCAAUUCACGUAGGGACCGAAAGGAGUCUGAUGAAACAUUGAUGUUAAGCGCUAGUCGUUAAAAUAUCUUAUCACUCAUUUAUCCUCAAGCUUUUUUUGAGAAUUACAUAGUACAACGUAGACACUUACAACACACGCACACUAAUUUCUAUGAAUACACGUACACAAACCCUCUAUGAGUAUCUCCGAACAACUGAGCCGGUAGAUCACAAGAUUUAUGAAGUUACCACACGCGCCUCACUGAGGAAAAUGUGAGCACCUAUGCCAAGUUGAGGACUUGAAUCCGGGUGGGUAGAUUCUAUCACAAGGAACUCAACUAGCUGAUCUAUAGUCAGUUUGCUAUCCUCAAGCUGAAUUGAGGGAGGAGACUCCAAUGAUCACCUUUGAAGUCCAUAAAAAGGUUGAAGUUUAUGAAAUAUAUCUAUCUAUUGCCUAACAAACACAUAGAAGUUAUAACUAAUUUAUUUUUGAAUUUAUACUUUCAAAAAUACAUCGCAUGACUGAUUGGCUAUGCACGUGGCUCCAAAGUCCAAACCCCUACUAUAUCAUACCUUCCGUCCAGGCGCUCAUUCAGAUUUGAUUUUUUUUUCUAGAUUUGAAUUAAACCUUCCGUCCAAAACCUAGGCCUUGUUUACAUUCAAAAUCUUUUUGGAUUUGGAUACUAUAGCACAUUCAUUUAUAUUUGGCAAUUAUUGUCCAAUCACGAACUAAAUAGGCUCAAAAGAUUCAUCUCAUAAAUUACAGGCAAGCUGUGUAAUUAAUUAUUUUUUUUUAUCUAUACUUAAUGCUUUAUGUAUGUGCCACAAGAUUUAAUGUGAGAGGGAAUCUUGAAAAAUUUUUGGAUUUUGAGUGGAACUAAACAAAGCCCUAGGGUAAAAACAAGAAUCUCAAAUUAAUCUGGCUUUGGGCUAAAUAUUUUCAAACUAGUACUAGAAAUCUCUUAUGUUUUUAAUAGUAGUCAACAUUAUGACAUAUAGCCCUGAACUUUUUAAAAUGUGCUCUCAAAAUGGGGGAUGGAAGAUGAAGUUGAAAUAGUAGCAUCUCCUAACUCCCACUUACUCAUGUGGACCCUUCGUAGCAUUUUGUGACCAUAUGUUUUAAGGAGUUGUACAUGUAGAGUUGUUCUGACACUAAAACAGUUUUAGCUCUACGAGUAGAGCUGCUCGUGGAGCCAAAGUAAAAUAAUAAUAAUUUCAUUGGUGAAGUGAGGUGGAGCUCUGCCAAAGGGAUGUAACCUCCUCAUCUCAAAAAAAAUGGAAGUAGCCUCCUCUCUUUCUUGGUUGGUCAAUAGAUGUCCAUGAGUCGGCCUGGUUUGGCCAGGCACAGGCCCAGGCUAGGCAUGGCUUCAUGUGGGUCGGGCCGACAUGGCACGUCGUGCCUCCUAGGCCAUGCCUCAUCAGCCGGCCUCAUGUUUGCCAGCGGCCUAGGCACAACCUAUUGGGCCGAUUUUUGAGCUGGGCUGGCCCAGAAAGCACAACCUGCAGAGUAGGGGGGCUAGCCAGAGGCCCACAUUGCAAUGAAGCCAUGGGGGAGCGUUGUCACCAGCUGUGCAGAGGAGCCAAGGGUCAUGUGAGGCCAUGUGAGGGAGUUAGGGAAGAGGAGGCGACGCGAGUCCAUUUGGAGAUGGCUGCUGCAUCUGAUCUGCAUGACGUGGAGGUCAGCAGGGUAAGAGAGAUCUGAGAUAGGCCACUGGAGAGGAGAGGAGAGGAGCGCGAGAUGGGGCAAGCUAGCAUCACAGGCAGCUGAGUGAAGGAAGAAGAGGAGGGCGAGCAAGUGCGGGCGGGCAGCGGAAGAGUCAGUAAGGGCGGUGGCUUCGGCCUUCCCCGUGUGGAGUAGUGAUGGAAAAAAAGAAGUUAGUCGAUGGGGCAGCAGAUCAAGAGUAGCUGUGGGUGGAUGAAUAUGUUGGAUGUUGGCCCAGGCAGGCUAGGCUAGCUCGGGUCACUCAGCACCAGGGCCAUGCCGUGCUCGUGCUGGGCCAAAAUGGCAGGCUUCCUGCCGGACUGCGGGGUGCAUGGCCAAGUAUAAUAUAUAUGUGCAUGCAUGGUAUUCAUUCAUCUCUCUCCACUUCCUUACAUUCAUCUAACGCUGCAGCUGUAAUGUAAUGACAACAACAACGACAAUACAAUGAAGAUAAGAGAGAUCGAGGGAGCAGAGGGACUGAAGAAGACAGGAUUAGGAGUACCUCGGAUCGCGGCAAGACGAACAGCUGCAGGGACGCCAGUGGUCAUCGAUCUCCCUUAUUAGCUUGUUAUAUUACGGUAUGCAAUGCAUGGAAUAGCUAGCAAAACUCGCUCGGCCGUGAAUGACCUCUAUCUCCCCGGUGUGCUUGCAUGCACGCGUGUCCAUAAUAUAAAUAGGAGCCCCGGCCGCCUGCUAGCUCAUUCAUAUUCAUCGCAUCGUAGUUACAUUACAUACCAUCCACCAAACGAUCAAAGGAAGAUGGGAGCGAACAUGAUGUCGUGGUCGAUGCAGGUGGCGUUGGUGGUGGCGCUGGCGUUUCUGGUGGGCGGCGCAUGGUGCGGUCCUCCCAAGGUUGCCCCGGGCAAGAACAUCACGGCCACCUACGGCAGCGACUGGCUGGAAGCGAAGGCAACAUGGUACGGUAAGCCAACAGGCGCCGGCCCCGACGACAACGGCGGCGCAUGUGGUUACAAGGAUGUGAACAAGGCCCCCUUCAACAGCAUGGGCGCGUGCGGCAACCUCCCCAUCUUCAAGGACGGCCUCGGCUGCGGCUCCUGCUUUGAGAUCAAGUGUGACAAGCCGGCCGAGUGCUCCGGCGAGGCCGUGGUGGUGCACAUCACGGACAUGAACUACGAGCAAAUCGCCGCCUACCACUUCGACCUGGCCGGCACGGCGUUCGGCGCCAUGGCCAAGAAGGGCGAGGAGGAGAAGCUGCGCAAGGCGGGCAUCAUCGACAUGAAGUUCCGCCGGGUCAAGUGCAAGUACGGCGAAAAGGUCACCUUCCACGUGGAGAAGGGGAGCAACCCCAACUACCUGGCGCUGUUGGUCAAGUACGUCGACGGCGACGGUGACGUUGUGGGGGUGGACAUCAAGGAGAAGGGUGGCGACGCGUACCAGCCCCUCAAGCACUCCUGGGGCGCUAUCUGGAGGAAGGACAGCGACAAGCCAAUCAAGUUUCCCGUCACCGUCCAAAUCACCACCGAAGGAGGCACCAAGACCGCCUAUGAAGACGUCAUCCCCGAAGGCUGGAAGGCCGACACCACCUACACCGCCAAAUAAACUGUCCAACAGACCUAACGCUGCUCUGGGCUCGGUUGGAUUGGAUCCCAACUUCCCAAGCAAUGCAUUACACUUACGCAUGCAUGGAUCCAUGCACAAUAUCUAUUUUUUUACUGCUGCUACUGCUACGACAAUGUCCUCCUUUGUCCUCUCCAUAUAUAGCUAGAGUCAGGCUCUGCUCUCUUAUAUUAUUAUUAUAUAAGAUAAGAAAUAGGAGAGAGAGAGGAGAGAGACCGAGUACAUAAUAAGUGUCUAAUUAAAGAGAGAUUUGAGAGGCCUUUAUUUUAUAUAUAAUAAAGAAUCCAAGGAGUGAGGCAAACAGCAACAAAAAUGCGUUGUACUGUCCAUGGAUUUCCAUGUAAUCUCAAUUAUACCAUGUCUACAUUUUAAUAGAAUACACACUUUUUAAUGAUUAAUUGAAAUUUAUGAUAAGCAUUCUAGAUGUAUUCUUUGCUUUGCCAGCCUUAGCCGCGGCCAUUCUUCGAAGGUAAGGUACAAUAAUUUCAUUCAUGCUACAAAAUAUAAGCUUUCUACUCUUUAAUAAGAUGAACUUUCCAUUAUUACGACACCUUCACUGCUUGCAUUAAUUAUGCAAUUUCCAACAUUAAGAUGGCGUCAUGUAUGCAUCUAGACCACUAGGUAAUAAGCGUGGUAAUUGUUUCGAUGAUUUAUAUCAACUAUAUUAUUAGAAAGGCACAACAUGAGGGAUAUUAUAGCUUUCAAACAUGAUUGAUCUAACGAGUCGAUUGCACAAGCCGACGGGCGCCGGCCCCGACGACAACGGUGGUGCGUGCGGGUACAAGGAUGUGAACAAGGCCCCCUUCAACAGCAAGGGUGCGUGCGGCAACCUCCCCAUCUUCAAGGAUGGCCUCGGCUGCGGCUCCUGCUUUGAGAUCAAGUGUGACAAGCCAGCCGAGUGCUCCGGCGAGGCCGUGGUGGUGCACAUCACGGACAUGAACUACGAGCAAAUCGCCGCCUACCACUUCGACCUAGCCGGCACGGCGUUCGCCGCCAUGGCCAAGAAGGGCGAGGAGGAGAAGCUGCGGAAGGCGGGCAUCAUCGACAUGCAGUUUCGUCGGGUCAAGUGCAAGUAUGGCGAAAAGGUCACCUUCCAUGUGGAGAAGGGGAGCAACCCCAACUACCUGGCGCUGCUGGUCAAGUACGUCGACGGC
Molecule: long non-coding RNA, 14024 nt
Filed under: Sorghum bicolor (sorghum)
Lineage: Eukaryota; Viridiplantae; Streptophyta; Magnoliopsida; Poales; Poaceae
Description: long non-coding RNA (SBIC_LNC001833)
Source: RNAcentral